This 740-nucleotide ribosomal RNA is filed under the name Pectobacterium carotovorum subsp. carotovorum. RNAcentral's name for it is "bacterial SSU rRNA". It matches the Rfam family "Bacterial small subunit ribosomal RNA", at positions 73 to 803 of the family's 1533-position model. The record is from RNAcentral. Lineage: Bacteria; Pseudomonadati; Pseudomonadota; Gammaproteobacteria; Enterobacterales; Pectobacteriaceae.
CCCGAGUGCACCUCUUCGGGUGACCAGCGGCGGACGGGUGAGUAAUGUCUGGGAAACUGCCUGAUGGAGGGGGAUAACUACUGGAAACGGUAGCUAAUACCGCAUAACGUCUUCGGACCAAAGAGGGGGACCUUCGGGCCUCUUGCCAUCAGAUGUGCCCAGAUGGGAUUAGCUAGUAGGUGAGGUAAUGGGUCACCUAGGCGACGAUCCCUAGCUGGUCUGAGAGGAUGACCAGCCACACUGGAACUGAGACACGGUCCAGACUCCUACGGGAGGCAGCAGUGGGGAAUAUUGCACAAUGGGCGCAAGCCUGAUGCAGCCAUGCCGCGUGUGUGAAGAAAGCCUUCGGGUUGUAAAGCACUUUCACCGGGGAGGAAGGCGGUGAGAUUAAUACUCUCAUCGAUUGACGUUACCCGCAGAAAAAGCACCGGCUAACUCCGUGCCAGCAGCCGCGGUAAUACGGAGGGUGCAAGCGUUAAUCGGAAUGACUGGGCGUAAAGCGCACGCAGGCGGUUUGUUAAGUCAGAUGUGAAAUCCCCGAGCUUAACUUGGGAACUGCAUUUGAAACUGGCAAGCUAGAGUCUUGUACAGGGGGGUAGAAUUCCCGGUGUAUCGCUGAAAUGCGUAGAGAUCUGGAGGAAUACCGGUGGCGAAAGCGGCCCCCUGCACAAAGACUGACGCUCACGUGCGAAAGCGUGGGGAGCAAACAGGAUUAUAUACCCCUGGGACUCCCACGCUGU